UAUUCGGUGAGCUUCUUUUAGAAAAUAGGCGGAAACGAAAACAAAACUCUUGAAAAACAAUUUUUUGGUAAAAGAAAAAGAAAAAAAAUUGAAAAGAAAAAAAAACCAAAACAUAAAUAGAAACUUAAGGUAAGCAUUUGAUGGAUUAAGAUAGUGAAUGAUUUUAUUUAUUUGGAUUAUUAUGUGUAAAGAUUUUCUUGGUUAGGCAUAUUACUAUUUCUUCUUUCACUUGUGUUUAUGUUGGUGAC
This 248-nucleotide long non-coding RNA is filed under the name Linum usitatissimum (flax). Its description in RNAcentral is "long non-coding RNA (LUSI_LNC000541)". Lineage: Eukaryota; Viridiplantae; Streptophyta; Magnoliopsida; Malpighiales; Linaceae. The record is from RNAcentral.